Molecule: ribosomal RNA, 605 nt
Filed under: uncultured bacterium
Lineage: Bacteria
Description: bacterial SSU rRNA
Rfam family: Bacterial small subunit ribosomal RNA
Source: RNAcentral
AGUGAGCGGCGGACGGGUGAGUAACACGUGGGCAACCUGCCCUGGAGCGGGGGAUAACAUCUGGAAACAGGUGCUAAUACCGCAUAACAACGAAAACCACAUGGUUUUCGUUUCAAAGAUGGUUUCGGCUAUCACUUCAGGAUGGGCCCGCGGUGCAUUAGCUAGUUGGUAAGGUAACGGCUUACCAAGGCAACGAUGCAUAGCCGAGUUGAGAGACUGAUCGGCCACAAUGGAACUGAGACACGGUCCAUACUCCUACGGGAGGCAGCAGUAGGGAAUCUUCCACAAUGGGCGCAAGCCUGAUGGAGCAACACCGCGUGAGUGAAGAAGGGUUUCGGCUCGUAAAGCUCUGUUGUUGGAGAAGAACGUGCGUGAGAGUAACUGUUCACGCAGUGACGGUAUCCAACCAGAAAGUCACGGCUAACUACGUGCCAGCAGCCGCGGUAAUACGUAGGUGGCAAGCGUUAUCCGGAUUUAUUGGGCGUAAAGCGAGCGCAGGCGGUUGCUUAGGUCUGAUGUGAAAGUCUUCGGCUUAACCGAAGAAGGGCAUCGGAAACCGGGCGACUUGAGUGCAGAAGAGGACAGUGGAACUCCAUGUGUAGCGG